Molecule: transfer RNA, 122 nt
Filed under: Vibrio cholerae
Lineage: Bacteria; Pseudomonadati; Pseudomonadota; Gammaproteobacteria; Vibrionales; Vibrionaceae
Also listed under: 3 other names
Description: tRNA-Ala
Rfam family: tRNA
About the family: Transfer RNA (tRNA) molecules are approximately 80 nucleotides in length.
Source: RNAcentral
CGGUCUGUAGUUCACUGGGAGAACGCUCAUAGCGUGAGUGGUUGGCAAGGUGAGGGAUAGCAACCCAAAACCAUCUCCAACCGGUUUGCAAGCCGAUGCGGGUUCAAAUCCCGUCAGACUGU